UACAAUGGAGAGUUUGAUCCUGGCUCAGGAUGAACGCUAGCGGCAGGCUUAACACAUGCAAGUCGAACGGUAACAGAAAAAGCUUGCUUUUUGCUGACGAGUGGCGAACGGGUGCGUAACGCGUAUGCAACCUACCCAUAACAGGGGGAUAGCCCAUAGAAAUGUGGAUUAAUACCCCAUAAUAUCAUAGAUUGGCAUCAUGAAAUGAUUAAAACUCCGGUGGUUAUGGAUGGGCAUGCGUGACAUUAGCUAGUUGGUGAGGUAACUGCUCACCAAGGCGACGAUGUCUAGGGGUUCUGAGAGGAUGAUCCCCCACACUGGUACUGAGACACGGACCAGACUCCUACGGGAGGCAGCAGUAGGGAAUAUUGGUCAAUGGGCGAGAGCCUGAACCAGCCAUGCCGCGUGCAGGAAGACGGCGUUCUGCGUUGUAAACUGCUUUUAUCUGGGAAGAAA
This 456-nucleotide ribosomal RNA is filed under the name Crocinitomicaceae bacterium. Its description in RNAcentral is "bacterial SSU rRNA". It matches the Rfam family "Bacterial small subunit ribosomal RNA", at positions 1 to 450 of the family's 1533-position model. The record is from RNAcentral. Lineage: Bacteria; Pseudomonadati; Bacteroidota; Flavobacteriia; Flavobacteriales; Crocinitomicaceae.